Molecule: long non-coding RNA, 1294 nt
Organism: Oncorhynchus masou masou (cherry salmon)
Lineage: Eukaryota; Metazoa; Chordata; Actinopteri; Salmoniformes; Salmonidae
Exons: 2
Source: RefSeq, a predicted model, not a curated record
GAAGAGGAGGAGGAGGAGGAGAGCUCCCACCUGCCCAGAAGAGAAGGCUCAUUUGUUUGUGUUGAUGGAGAAUUCUCUCUGCAUUGGGCUGCAUGCAUGCAGAGCAGAGUGACGAGCAGGGAGAGGACAAGGAGUGGAGAGGGCCGACGCUCUGCAGCCAGAGGAGUACGCUCGGCUGGACGGACAGACUAGAGGUGAUCGCCCAGGGAGGGACUGGAGAGGACCGCAAGUUCACACCCUGAUUGAGGUUAUGACAAUCGAAGCCAAACCACUCUCGCUACAGUGUCUUCAUUGAAUAUUUGAAUUGGAUCUAAGUGAUCCUAAUUCUCUCCCAUUAUCUACUUGCUGAUAUGGCAGCAUUACAAGGCCCUGUUGACAUAUAGCCUAGCACUCAUUAUUGCUUGAUUAAGGACUACUUUACCAGGCAGGCUGCUGAACUGUACACACACACACAUACACAACCCAUCUAUUAUUCACUAUGUCAUUAAUAUUUAACUGUGCUUUCAUAUGGGCUGAAUCAUAACCUUUUCUAUGGGAACAUACAGUACAGUGUUACCUCUGCUGCUCAGUAGGAGAGGCAUGGGACCAACAGUAAACUAACAGAGCUGGAGGAGGACUCUAAUAAACUUGCUGUGUGUGUGUGUGUGUGUGUGUGUGUGUGUGUGUGUGGGCAUGCCUAUGAGCCCAUGUCUGUGUCUAUUCAUUUGGUAUAUUCACACAUUUGUUAUGUUCAUGUAUUUGUUCCUAUUGUAUUCUCUUGAAGGAGAGAGGACUGUGAACUCACCAGAAGGGUUUAUUUGACCAGGAGAGGGCAGCGGUGGAGUCAAAGAGCUUUAAUUAGUGGUGUUACAGUCACUGAGGCAUAGCAGAGACAGCAAGAGUGUUUGUUGUUUUUUCAUUUGCUUUGGCAAUGUUUCCCAUGCCAAUAAAGUUUCCCGGAGAGAGAGGGAAAGAGUGUGGCUGUUACAGUGAACGUAUUAGCGCCAUACUGGCGGUCACGAGUCAUAAUUGCAGUCAAAUUCCACGUGACCGUUUAUUCACUGUAAUUAGGCUUCUUCAAGCUCUGAUGCUGCUGAUGGUCAUUAGUAGGCUACCAAACUUGCUAUCUGACUCAUACUCAGCACUCUAUUGUCCCUCUAAUCACUCUGACUACAAAUGUUUUCAAAAAUCAAAUCAAGCACUUCAUGAGAGCCCAUGAGGAGAUGUUGCGCAAAAUUUCUGUAGCCUAUGCAAUUGUGUGAGUAAAUAGUGAUGCCCUCUAUUAAAAAGAGGAGGAUACCAUCCUCUUUCUAUA